AAGUUUUCGGAAUGACGAGGUUUGUGACUGAGCGGCGGACGGGUGAGUAACGCGUGGGCAACCUGCCUCACACAGGGGGAUAACAAUUGGAAACGACUGCUAAUACCGCAUAAGCGCACAGUACCGCAUGGUACGGUGUGAAAAACUCCGGUGGUACAAGAUGGACCCGCGUCUGAUUAGCUGGUUGGUGAGGUAACGGCCCACCAAGGCGACGAUCAGUAGCCGACUUGAGAGAGUGACCGGCCACACUGGAACUGAGACACGGUCCAGACUCC
This 275-nucleotide ribosomal RNA is filed under the name uncultured Lachnospiraceae bacterium. Its description in RNAcentral is "partial 16S ribosomal RNA". It matches the Rfam family "Bacterial small subunit ribosomal RNA", at positions 69 to 339 of the family's 1533-position model. Lineage: Bacteria; Bacillati; Bacillota; Clostridia; Lachnospirales; Lachnospiraceae. The record is from RNAcentral.